Molecule: ribosomal RNA, 428 nt
Filed under: uncultured archaeon
Lineage: Archaea
Description: bacterial SSU rRNA
Rfam family: Archaeal small subunit ribosomal RNA
Source: RNAcentral
UACCUGCAGCUCAAGUGGUGACCGCUAUUAUUGGGCCUAAAACGUUCGUAGCCGGUUUAGUAAAUGCCUGGGUAAAUCGUGUAGCUUAACUAUACGAAUUCCGGGUAGACUGCUAAACUUGAGACCGGGAGAGGCUAGAGGUACUUCUAGGGUAGAGGUGAAAUUCUGUAAUCCUAGGGGGACCACCAGUGGCGAAGGCGUCUAGCUAGAACGGGUCUGACGGUGAGGGACGAAGCCCUGGGGCGCAAACCGGAUUAGAUACCCGGGUAGUCCAGGGUGUAAACGCUGCUUGCUUGAUGUUAGUCGGGCUCCGAGCCCGAUUAGUGUCGGAGAGAAGUUGUUAAGCAAGCUGCCUGGGAAGUACGGUCACAAGACUGAAACUUAAAGGAAUUGGCGGGGAGCACAGCAACGGGUGGAGCGUGCGGUUU